GAUGAACGCUGGCGGCGUGCUUAACACAUGCAAGUCGAACGAAGCACUUUAUUUGAUUUCCUUCGGGACUGAUUAUUUUGUGACUGAGUGGCGGACGGGUGAGUAACGCGUGGGUAACCUGCCUUGUACAGGGGGAUAACAGUUGGAAACGGCUGCUAAUACCGCAUAAGCGCACAGCAUCGCAUGAUGCAGUGUGAAAAACUCCGGUGGUAUAAGAUGGACCCGCGUUGGAUUAGCUAGUUGGUGAGGUAACGGCCCACCAAGGCGACGAUCCAUAGCCGACCUGAGAGGGUGUCCGGCCACGUUGGGACUGAGACACGGCCCAAACUCCUACGGGAGGCAGCAGUGGGGAAUAUUGCACAAUGGGAGAAAGCCUGAUGCAGCGACGCCGCGUGAGCGAAGAAGUAUUUCGGUAUGUAAAGCUCUAUCAGCAGGGAAGAUAAUGACGGUACCUGACUAAGAAGCACCGGCUAAAUACGUG
Molecule: ribosomal RNA, 481 nt
Filed under: uncultured bacterium
Lineage: Bacteria
Description: partial 16S ribosomal RNA
Rfam family: Bacterial small subunit ribosomal RNA
Source: RNAcentral